ACACAUGCAAGUCGAGGGGCAGCAUCAUUAAAGCUUGCUUUGAUGGAUGGCGACCGGCGCACGGGUGAGUAACACGUAUCCAACCUGCCGACAACACUGGGAUAGCCUUUCGAAAGAAAGAUUAAUACCGGAUGGCAUAGUCUUCCCGCAUGGGAUGACUAUUAAAGAAUUUCGGUUGUCGAUGGGGAUGCGUUCCAUUAGGCAGUUGGCGGGGUAACGGCCCACCAAACCAACGAUGGAUAGGGGUUCUGAGAGGAAGGUCCCCCACAUUGGAACUGAGACACGGUCCAAACUCCUACGGGAGGCAGCAGUGAGGAAUAUUGGUCAAUGGACGAGAGUCUGAACCAGCCAAGUAGCGUGAAGGAUGACUGCCCUAUGGGUUGUAAACUUCUUUUAUACGGGAAUAAAGUGAGCCACGUGUGGCUUUUUGUAUGUACCGUAUGAAUAAGGAUCGGCUAACUCCGUGCCAGCAGCCGCGGUAAUACGGAGGAUCCGAGCGUUAUCCGGAUUUAUUGGGUUUAAAGGGAGCGUAGGCGGGUUGUUAAGUCAGUUGUGAAAGUUUGCGGCUCAACCGUAAAAUUGCAGUUGAUACUGGCGACCUUGAGUGCAGCAGAGGUAGGCGGAAUUCGUGGUGUAGCGGUGAAAUGCUUAGAUAUCACGAAGAA
This 665-nucleotide ribosomal RNA is filed under the name uncultured bacterium. Its description in RNAcentral is "bacterial SSU rRNA". It matches the Rfam family "Bacterial small subunit ribosomal RNA", at positions 51 to 706 of the family's 1533-position model. The record is from RNAcentral.